CCUACGGGAGGCAGCAGUAAGGAAUAUUGGACAAUGGGCGAAAGCCUGAUCCAGCCAUGCCGCGUGAAGGAUUAAGGUCCUCUGGAUUGUAAACUUCUUUUAUGUGGGACGAAAAAAGGGCAUUCUUGCUCACUUGACGGUACCAUUUGAAUAAGCACCGGCUAACUCCGUGCCAGCAGCCGCGGUAAUACGGAGGGUGCAAGCGUUAUCCGGAUUCACUGGGUUUAAAGGGUGCGUAGGCGGGUAGGUAAGUCAGUGGUGAAAUCUCGAAGCUUAACUUCGAAACUGCCAUUGAUACUAUCUAUCUUGAAUAUUGUGGAGGUUUGCGGAAUAUGUCAUGUAGCGGUGAAAUGCUUAGAUAUGACAUAGAACACCGAUUGCGAAGGCAGCAGGCUACACAUAUAUUGACGCUGAGGCACGAAAGCGUGGGGAUCAAACAGGAUUAGAUACCCUGGUAGUCCACGCCCUAAACGAUGAUUACUCGACAUACGCGAUACACUGUGUGUGUGUGAGAGAAGAGAGUUAAGUAAUACCUACCGUUAGGUUAAGGUACGUUCCGCCGAAGGAGUUAGUUAAACGUUAAAGUUAGUUAAGUUAGACGGCGUUGAGACGUUCGCCGACGGACGACGACGGAGGGAGGUAGG
Molecule: ribosomal RNA, 644 nt
Filed under: uncultured bacterium
Lineage: Bacteria
Description: bacterial SSU rRNA
Rfam family: Bacterial small subunit ribosomal RNA (bases 1-538)
Source: RNAcentral